Oncorhynchus keta (chum salmon) is the source of this 243-nucleotide long non-coding RNA. RefSeq lists it as uncharacterized. NCBI's taxonomy places the organism in Eukaryota, Metazoa, Chordata, Actinopteri, Salmoniformes, Salmonidae. The record is from RefSeq and is a predicted model, not a curated record. The transcript has 3 exons.
AGGUGUAUCAUAGGACCAUCAUCACAUUAUCUCAGGUUUAUCAUAGGACCACCAUCACAUCAUUAUCUCAGGUGUAUCAGGACCAUCAUCACAUUAUCUCAGGUGUAUCAGGACCAUCAUCACAUUAUCUCAGGUGUAUCAUAGGACCAUCAUCACAUCAUUAUCUCAGGUGUAUCAUAGGACCAUCAUCACAUCAUUAUCUCAGGUGUAUCAUAGGACCAUCAUCACAUCAUUAUCUCAGGU